AAACAUAGCUCCUUGAAAAAUAUUAGGAGUAAUGCCUGCCCAGUGAUAAUAAUAAAUUAAACGGCCGCGGUAUCUUGACCGUGCAAAGGUAGCAUAAUCAUUUGUUCUUUAAUUGAGGACUAGUAUGAAAGGCAAAACGAAAGCUAAACUGUCUCCUUUUUAAAAAAAGAAUUUAUUAUUUUUGUGAAGAAACAAAAAUAAAAACGCAAGACGAGAAGACCCUGUCGAGCUUUAAGAAAUUUUUUAUAAAAUAAAAUUUUAAAUAUAAAAAUAAUACCUAAAAAAUUUAAAUAAAAAUAUCUUUGGUUGGGGCAACCACGAAGAAAAAGUAACCUUCGUUUAAAAAAUAAAAUUUACAAAUUUAAAAAUUUUAAAAAAUAAUAAUGAUCCAGCAAAUCUGAUCAAAGAAACAAGUUACCGCAGGGAUAACAGCGUUAUUCUCUUUGAGAGUUCGUAUUGACAAGAGAGUUUGCGACCUCGAUGUUGGACCGGGACAUCCUAGAGGCGCAACAGCCUCUAAAGGUAGGUCUGUUCGACCAAUAAAGUCCUACGUGA
RNAcentral lists this ribosomal RNA (555 nucleotides) under Dorometra nana. RNAcentral describes it as "partial large subunit ribosomal RNA". It matches the Rfam family "Bacterial large subunit ribosomal RNA", at positions 1811 to 2603 of the family's 2925-position model. Lineage: Eukaryota; Metazoa; Echinodermata; Crinoidea; Comatulida; Antedonidae. The record is from RNAcentral.